UUUUACUUCCCUCUCUUUGUUUCACACUAAAUUCGUAAAUUUCACCAAAAAAAAACACUCAAAUUCGAAAACAUCUCUUCACUUCUUCAGUCUUCACCUCCUGCUCCGAUCUCACCAGCUGCCUUGGAGGCUGCACCAGCCCGUCGUUAUCGUCACCGCCGCACUCGUGACUCGCAGGAGAUCGUCCGGAACCGGUACCUGUCUUCAGAACACACAGAUUCUCCUUCCUUUUCUGUUCGACGCCAAUUCUAGGUCAAAUCCAAAAUCCACAAAUCGUCAGAUCGACUAAUCAUCUUCCACUCUCUUCGAGCUCCUCCAACUAAGUCUGACUCUGAAUCUAGUGCAAAGGUACGAUCCUCUAAUGAAUCAACUUUCUUGUAGCCGAUGGAACUUCUGACGGAAUCUGUAAAUUGUUUUUUUUUCACGUUUUUUGGUUUCCUGUUAUUAUCUUCGUUCUGUGUUUGGCUUGAGCAUUCUCUCAUGUCAAGAGUCUUCAACAACCCGAAGCUUCUGCGUUUGAUUCCUUUGGUAGCUUUGCCGUUCGUAAUUUCCAGAGGACCACAUCUUGACUGUCUGUCUUCAAAAUUGGUCUAAGAUUUCGUGAGCCUGAAUUUCGAUCUCUGAAUCUGAUUUGGAAUAUUAGUUAGCAAAUAGAGGACAUUAGCUGCAUCUUUGGUUUGCAUAGCAGAUUUCUGGCAGUAAGGCGAAGUAUACUCGUUAGAAGUUCUCAUUUCUCUGUGUAAACAAACGUCCAUGCAUUUUACGGUUUCCUCACUUUCCUGGUGUUGUUGUCUUUGUUCUGUGUUUUGCUUGAAUAUUCUCUCAUGUCGAGAGUUUUCCACGAUCCAAAGACCUGCGAAGAUUGAAUAAGCUUCUGCGUUUGCUUCCUUCGGUAGCUUGGUUUCUUUUUGAAGCUUUUACUGGUUAGAGAUUUCCAAAGGACACUGCUGUUGUGAACUCCUUUGCAUCUUGAAUUCUGCCCUUAAUCGGUCUAAUAUUCCGUUCCCCUGCAUUUCGAUAUCUGAUUUGGAAUGUUCAGUUAGCAACUACAGAACAUUGGCUCAAUCGUUUGUUUAAGAUUGCGGCAGUUAGGCGAAGUGUAAUCAUUGGAAAUUCUCAUUUCUCUGUGUAAACAACGCUCGUUAUCUUGACAUCUUUGUACUGGUGUCGCCAACACUUGUGGUGCAAGUUGCUACUACAUUUCUCACGAUUUUUCAUCUGCAUUUCCUUACUGAUAUACUGUUUCGAUGCAAAAACAAAUUAGUCUACAAGCUGCCUAAGAAAGCUCUCCGCGUGAGAGAACCCCAGUUGCGCUCCAUGGCCCCGUCACCAAAUCCAUUCCAUCCCGGCGCCUCCGUCAACACCAUGAAGGAUGCGCCUCUACCACCACCGCCACUGCCUCACCAACUCGUCACUGUCAAUGGUUCUGACUGCGACAAGUCUACCUGCAACCACAGCCCAGCCACAAACCAUCGUGUCGGAUCGACGAUGGCAAACACUAAUGGAUCCACCAGCCUUGAUGGCGAAACCUCCUGGCAGCCAGACGUUGCGGAUCCACACUGAUCAUCCGACAUUUGCCCAGCCGAGGUCCUAACCUCCCUCGAUGAUAAUCUUAAUCAGAAUGAUAAUCUUAUUUUUGUCACAUUUGGGCCGUUCUUUUUUAAAUUUUCUUUUUAUUAUUAUUAUUUUUAAAAAUAACUUACAAAAAAGUUACUCUACUUAAAUUCAGUAAUUAAUAGGCCUACAACUUUUCAAAUUUUGUCAAACGAGAAAUUGGCCUUAGCGAAUUUGAUUUAAAUUAUCCCAACAUCUUCAUAAUACUUACUGCAUCGCUUAAAUGUUUAUGUUUAUGUUCGGAUACCAAUCGAAGAUCGAUACAUAUUUUAUCAACGACUCCGAUAUGUUAUAAAUAGCAAAACCAACAUUAUUACAAACAUAAUUACUAAGUGCAUUGGCACUGCUAUGCUAUCACCCUAAUUGCGACUUAGGUUCUUAACACGCCAUCAAAAUAACACUCCUCAUAUACCCUAAGAUCACCUCAUACACCAACUCUAAUUUAAGACCAUCCAAUCAGCAGAAACAUAUCUCCCUCUAAUUCUUUUCUAUUUUCGAUUAUUACAGAAAUUAAAGAGAAAGGGGUCGAGCAAAUUGUGGCCAUCUCUCUACGUGUGCACAUAAACAAAC
This 2184-nucleotide long non-coding RNA is filed under the name Linum usitatissimum (flax). Its description in RNAcentral is "long non-coding RNA (LUSI_LNC004957)". The record is from RNAcentral. Lineage: Eukaryota; Viridiplantae; Streptophyta; Magnoliopsida; Malpighiales; Linaceae.